GAGUUUGAUCCUGGCUCACGAUUAACGCUAGCGGCAGGCUUAACACAUGCAAGUCGAACGGUAACAUUGGUGCUUGCACCAGAUGACGAGUGGCGAACGGGUGCGUAACGCGUAUACAACCUACCUCUUAUUAAGGAAUAGCUCAGAGAAAUUUGAAUUAAUACCUUAUAAUAUCAUAAAGUCGCAUGGCUUAAUGAUUAAAGAACUUCGAUAAGAGAUGGGUAUGCGUGAUAUUAGCUAGUUGGUAAGGUAACGGCUUACCAAGGCAACGAUAUCUAGGGGGUCUGAGAGGAUGAUCCCCCACACUGGUACUGAGACACGGACCAGACUCCUACGGGAGGCAGCAGUGAGGAAUAUUGGACAAUGGACGAAAGUCUGAUCCAGCCAUGCCGCGUGAAGGAUGAAUGCCCUAUGGGUUGUAAACUUCUUUUAUAUAGGAAGAAACCUCUGGAUUUAUCCAGAGCUGACAUUACUAUACGAAUAAGCAUCGGCUAACUCCGUGCCAGCAGCCGCGGUAAUACGGAGGAUGCAAGCGUUAUCCGGAUUUAUUGGGUUUAAAGGGUCCGUAGGCGGAAUUUUAAGUCAGUGGUGAAAGCCUGCAGCUCAACUGUAGAACUGCCAUUGAUACUGAAAUUCUUGAAUAUAUAUGAAGUGGGCGGAAUGCGCCAUGUAGCGGUGAAAUGCACAGAUAUGACGCAGAACACCAAUUGCGAAGGCAGCUCACUAAUGUAUUAUUGACGCUGAGGGACGAAAGCAUGGGGAGCGAACAGGAUUAGAUACCCUGGUAGUCCAUGCCGUAAACGAUGAUUACUCGGUAUUAGUCUGACUAGUGCCUAAGCGAAAGUGAUAAGUAAUCCACCUGGGGAGUACGCUCGCAAGAGUGAAACUCAAAGGAAUUGACGGGGACCCGCACAAGUAGUGGAGCAUGUGGUUUAAUUCGAAGAUACGCGCAGAACCUUACCAACACUUGACAUGUUCGUCGCGACUCUAAGAGAUUAGAGUUUUCGGUUCGGCCGGACGAAACACAGGUGCUGCAUGGCUGUCGUCAGCUCGUGUCGUGAGAUGUUGGGUUAAGUCCCGCAACGAGCGCAACCCUCACUUUUAGUUGCCAUCAUUAAGUUGGGCACUCUGAAAGAACUGCCAGUGAUAAGCUGGAGGAAGGUGGGGAUGACGUCAAGUCCUCAUGGCCCUUACGUGUUGGGCUACACACGUGCUACAAUGGCAUCUACAACAGGAAGCAAAACGGCAACGUUAAGCAAAUCCCAAAAAGAUGCCUCAGUUCGGAUUGCACUCUGCAACUCGAGUGCAUGAAGCUGGAAUUACUAGUAAUCGUGGAUCAGCGUGCCACGGUGAAUGCGUUCCCGGGUCUUGUACACACCGCCCGUCACACCAUGGGAGUUGGUUCUACCUUAAGGCAAGGUUUUAAACCCUUGACCACGGUAUAGUCAGCGACUGGGGUGAAGUCGUAACGAGGUAACC
This 1479-nucleotide ribosomal RNA is filed under the name uncultured marine bacterium. RNAcentral describes it as "16S ribosomal RNA". It matches the Rfam family "Bacterial small subunit ribosomal RNA". The record is from RNAcentral.